CGGGAAACCGGAGCUAAUACCGGAUAAUAUUUUGAACCGCAUGGUUCAAAAGUGAAAGACGGUCUUGCUGUCACUUAUAGAUGGAUCCGCGCUGCAUUAGCUAGUUGGUAAGGUAACGGCUUACCAAGGCAACGAUGCAUAGCCGACCUGAGAGGGUGAUCGGCCACACUGGAACUGAGACACGGUCCAGACUCCUACGGGAGGCAGCAGUAGGGAAUCUUCCGCAAUGGGCGAAAGCCUGACGGAGCAACGCCGCGUGAGUGAUGAAGGUCUUCGGAUCGUAAAACUCUGUUAUUAGGGAAGAACAUAUGUGUAAGUAACUGUGCACAUCUUGACGGUACCUAAUCAGAAAGCCACGGCUAACUACGUGCCAGCAGCCGCGGUAAUACGUAGGUGGCAAGCGUUAUCCGGAAUUAUUGGGCGUAAAGCGCGCGUAGGCGGUUUUUUAAGUCUGAUGUGAAAGCCCACGGCUCAACCGUGGAGGGUCAUUGGAAACUGGAAAACUUGAGUGCAGAAGAGGAAAGUGGAAUUCCAUGUGUAGCGGUGAAAUGCGCAGAGAUAUGGAGGAACACCAGUGGCGAAGGCGACUUUCUGGUCUGUAACUGACGCUGAUGUGCGAAAGCGUGGGGAUCAAACAGGAUUAGAUACCCUGGUAGUCCACGCCGUAAACGAUGAGUGCUAAGUGUUAGGGGGUUUCCGCCCCUUAGUGCUGCAGCUAACGCAUUAAGCACUCCGCCUGGGGAGUACGACCGCAAGGUUGAAACUCAAAGGAAUUGACGGGGACCCGCACAAGCGGUGGAGCAUGUGGUUUAAUUCGAAGCAACGCGAAGAACCUUACCAAAUCUUGACAUCCUUUGACAACUCUAGAGAUAGAGCCUUCCCCUUCGGGGGACAAAGUGACAGGUGGUGCAUGGUUGUCGUCAGCUCGUGUCGUGAGAUGUUGGGUUAAGUCCCGCAACGAGCGCAACCCUUAAGCUUAGUUGCCAUCAUUAAGUUGGGCACUCUAAGUUGACUGCCGGUGACAAACCGGAGGAAGGUGGGGAUGACGUCAAAUCAUCAUGCCCCUUAUGAUUUGGGCUACACACGUGCUACAAUGGACAAUACAAAGGGCAGCGAAACCGCGAGGUCAAGCAAAUCCCAUAAAGUUGUUCUCAGUUCGGAUUGUAGUCUGCAACUCGACUACAUGAAGCUGGA
This 1194-nucleotide ribosomal RNA is filed under the name Staphylococcus aureus. RNAcentral's name for it is "bacterial SSU rRNA". It matches the Rfam family "Bacterial small subunit ribosomal RNA", at positions 150 to 1330 of the family's 1533-position model. The record is from RNAcentral. Lineage: Bacteria; Bacillati; Bacillota; Bacilli; Caryophanales; Staphylococcaceae.